GUCGAGAAUAGUCUACAAUGGUCGAAAGACUGAUAGUGCGACGCCGCGUGAACGAAGAAGCCCUUCGGGGUGUAAAGUUCUUUUAUAUGUGAGCAAUGCCUUUUAUGUGAAUAGCAUGAGAGGAGCGAUAUUAGCAUAUGAAUAAGCAACGGCUAACUCCGUGCCAGCAGCCGCGGUAACACGGGGGUUGCAAGCGUUGUCCGGAAUUACUAGGCGUAAAGGGCAGGUAGGCGGAUAGAUAAGUUUUUUGUCAAAGGCGACGGCUCACCCGUCGUAUGGCAGGAGAUACUGUUUAUCUGGAAUGCGGUUGGGGAAGACAGAAUUCCUGGUGUAGCGGUGGAAUGCGCAGAGAUCAGGAGGAAUACCGAAGGCGAAGGCAGUCUUCUAAGCCGUUAUUGACGCUAAACUGCGAAGGUGUGGGUAUCAAACAGGAUUAGAUACCCCGGUAGUCC
Molecule: ribosomal RNA, 452 nt
Filed under: uncultured bacterium
Lineage: Bacteria
Description: partial 16S ribosomal RNA
Rfam family: Bacterial small subunit ribosomal RNA
Source: RNAcentral